RNAcentral lists this long non-coding RNA (257 nucleotides) under Mytilus galloprovincialis (Mediterranean mussel). Lineage: Eukaryota; Metazoa; Mollusca; Bivalvia; Mytilida; Mytilidae. The record is from RNAcentral.
AAAAUCAAAGAGCUGAAUAGCUCUGAGGGGAAAGACAGCCCUUGUCUCUUUUUUUGGGGGGGGGGGGGCGGUAUCUUUUGAUAGUCUUCAUAUAAAGAAUGAAAAAAAGAACAGCUAGAACAUGUAGAAAGGUUGACAAUAUUGAAGUCAAUUGUUGUUGUUUAAUCUAAUUUUGUUUCCUUAGUUAAGGAUUCAAUUUGGACCAAGAGAUCUGCAUCUUCUAAAUCUAAACAUUCGAUUAAAGUUGAUAGUUAAUU